GACGAACGCUGGCGGCGUGCUUAAUACAUGCAAGUCGAACGGAAAGGCCCGGCUUUUGUGGGGUGCUCGAGUGGCGAACGGGUGAGUAACACGUGAGUAACCUGUCCUUGUCUUUGGGAUAACUUCAGGAAACUGGGGCUAAUACCGGAUAGGAGCUCCUGCUGCAUGGUGGUGGUUGGAAAGUUUCGGCGGUUGGGGAUGGACUCGCAGCUUAUCAGCUUGUUGGUGGGGUAGUGGCUUACCAAGGCUUUGACGGGUAGCCGGCCUGGGAGGGUGACCGGGCACAUUGGGACUGCGAUAGGGCCCAGAGUCCUACGGGAGGCAGCGGUGGGAAAUAUUGCACAAUAGGCGGAAGCCUGAUGCAGCAACGCCGCGUGCGGGAUGACGGCCUUCGGGUUAUAAACCGCUUUCGACUGUGACGAAGCGUGAGUGACGGUAAUGGGUAAAAAAGCACCGGCUAACUACGUG
This 468-nucleotide ribosomal RNA is filed under the name uncultured bacterium. Its description in RNAcentral is "partial 16S ribosomal RNA". It matches the Rfam family "Bacterial small subunit ribosomal RNA", at positions 28 to 507 of the family's 1533-position model. The record is from RNAcentral.